Molecule: long non-coding RNA, 316 nt
Organism: Apodemus sylvaticus (European woodmouse)
Lineage: Eukaryota; Metazoa; Chordata; Mammalia; Rodentia; Muridae
Exons: 3
Source: RefSeq, a predicted model, not a curated record
GCGCCGGGCCCCUGGAUGAGGAAGGAGGUAAAAUAAGGCCUGCGUGGGCCUCGGUCUCCAGGAAUCCUGAUCUCCUCGUCCCAUGGUGCCAGGAGAAAUGACAAGCUGACCUUCUCGACCAUAGUUCCCAGCCAGCAAGAUGGCCUUGCCAACAAGCUUGCCACCCUGAAUCCAGUACCUAUACCCACAUACUGGAGGAGAGAACAGAAUCCUGCAAGGUUCCUUCUGACCCUCAACAUGGCCACAGAUUUAAAAGGGAAAAUAGUAAACAGAGGCAAAUUGUAAAAGGGAAGUUUCUCCACUUCAGAAGAGACCA